AUCUAGCUGUUGAGUCCUAAAUAGGACGAAACGUGCGUUCUAGAU
This is a non-coding RNA of Schistosoma mansoni, 45 nucleotides long. Lineage: Eukaryota; Metazoa; Platyhelminthes; Trematoda; Strigeidida; Schistosomatidae. The record is from Rfam.